This 71-nucleotide transfer RNA is filed under the name Camelus bactrianus (Bactrian camel). It matches the Rfam family "tRNA". Rfam says of the family: Transfer RNA (tRNA) molecules are approximately 80 nucleotides in length. Their secondary structure includes four short double-helical elements and three loops (D, anti-codon, and T loops). RNAcentral also lists the same sequence under 2 other names. The record is from Rfam by way of RNAcentral. Lineage: Eukaryota; Metazoa; Chordata; Mammalia; Artiodactyla; Camelidae.
GUGGGUAUAGCUCAGCAGUAGAGCACAUGCUUGGCAUGUACAGGUCCUGGGUUCAAUCCCCAGUACCUCCG